UUCCGCAAUAGCUCAGCUGGUAGAGCGCAUGACUGUUAAUCAUGAUGUCGCAGGUUCGAGCCCUGCUUGCGGAGU
This 75-nucleotide transfer RNA is filed under the name Alkalibacterium putridalgicola. Its description in RNAcentral is "tRNA-Asn". It matches the Rfam family "tRNA". From Rfam's summary of the family: Transfer RNA (tRNA) molecules are approximately 80 nucleotides in length. Their secondary structure includes four short double-helical elements and three loops (D, anti-codon, and T loops). Further hydrogen bonds mediate the characteristic L-shaped molecular structure. tRNAs have two regions of fundamental functional importance: the anti-codon, which is responsible for specific mRNA codon recognition, and the 3' end, to which the tRNAs corresponding amino acid is attached (by aminoacyl-tRNA synthetases). tRNAs cope with the degeneracy of the genetic code in two manners: having more than one tRNA (with a specific anti-codon) for a particular amino acid; and 'wobble' base-pairing, i.e. permitting non-standard base-pairing at the 3rd anti-codon position. The record is from RNAcentral. Lineage: Bacteria; Bacillati; Bacillota; Bacilli; Lactobacillales; Carnobacteriaceae.